RNAcentral lists this ribosomal RNA (253 nucleotides) under uncultured bacterium. Its description in RNAcentral is "partial 16S ribosomal RNA". It matches the Rfam family "Bacterial small subunit ribosomal RNA", at positions 524 to 776 of the family's 1533-position model. The record is from RNAcentral.
UACGUAGGUGGCAAGCGUUGUCCGGAAUUACUGGGUGUAAAGGGAGCGCAGGCGGGAAGCCAGGUCAGCUGUGAAAACUACGGGCUUAACUUGUAGACUGCAGUUGAAACUGGUUUUCUUGAGUGAAGUAGAGGUUGGCGGAAUUCCGAGUGUAGCGGUGAAAUGCGUAGAUAUUCGGAGGAACACCGGUGGCGAAGGCGGCCAACUGGGCUUUAACUGACGCUGAGGCUCGAAAGUGUGGGGAGCAAACAGG